Long non-coding RNA from Chelonia mydas (Green sea turtle), 511 nucleotides. RefSeq lists it as uncharacterized. Lineage: Eukaryota; Metazoa; Chordata; Testudines; Cheloniidae. The record is from RefSeq and is a predicted model, not a curated record. The transcript is spliced from 3 exons.
AGCGGAGAGGGAAACGUGGGGCAGGGCUCUGCCCCGAGAGAGAAGAGGGAAGGGGGGGGUCUAUGCGCCGGGGACACCUGCCGAGCAUGCCUAAUUAUUAUAAAGCAGCCAGCUCCACUGCAGCUGCCCCAGAGCCCUCAGAUAGGGGACUAAGGAAGUAUGACAAGGAUGAUGCUGGGAACAGCUUCUUUCUGGUUCCUGUGGCAAUCAUUGCUCCAGAGGAAUGGAGACUCUGGCCCAACUUCCUUGGGAUUUUCCAAAUACACGCUACUCUGUACAUACGCUGUGCCAGCGGCUCAUGAGCAAAUCCUAUGAUGGAAGAAAGAAAUUCAGGAAUCAAUACUGCAGAUGGAAUUUCCACUAUAUUUGCUAAUUUGAAAGUACAGUGAAACACAAUUUCCAAGGAUCAUUUGUUGGUACAAGCAAGGAGCAGUAGUCACCCGGAGAGUCCAUUUAGGAAUGUGAGAAUAAUUUAAUGCAACUACAAGGUACAUAGCCAGUGUACCUUGUG